GCGGGGUAGCCCAAUUGGCAGAGGCGCCGCGGUAAGACUCAGACUCUCGCUCCAGCUUCAGUAUUCGCCACCGAACGCCAGGUCGACCGAGCGCUGACGGGGACGGUCGGAUGCCAGUUCGAAUCUGGUCAGCCGCUCCA
RNAcentral lists this transfer RNA (140 nucleotides) under Allocatelliglobosispora scoriae. Its description in RNAcentral is "tRNA-OTHER". The record is from RNAcentral. Lineage: Bacteria; Bacillati; Actinomycetota; Actinomycetes; Micromonosporales; Micromonosporaceae.